RNAcentral lists this ribosomal RNA (253 nucleotides) under uncultured bacterium. RNAcentral describes it as "partial 16S ribosomal RNA". It matches the Rfam family "Bacterial small subunit ribosomal RNA", at positions 524 to 776 of the family's 1533-position model. The record is from RNAcentral.
UACGUAGGUGGCAAGCGUUGUCCGGAUUUACUGGGCGUAAAGAGCGCGCAGGCGGCUGGUCAAGUCCGAUGUGAAAUCUCCCGGCUCAACUGGGAAACUGCAUCGGAAACUGAUCGGCUUGAAGGUGGGAGAGGGUAGUGGAAUUCCAGGUGUAGCGGUGAAAUGCGUAGAGAUGUGGAGGAACACCGAUGGCGAAGGCAGCCUCCUGGGCCAAUACUGACGCUCAUGCACGAAAGCGUGGGGAGCAAACAGG